Non-coding RNA from Pelodiscus sinensis (Chinese soft-shelled turtle), 1981 nucleotides. The record is from RefSeq and is a predicted model, not a curated record. NCBI's taxonomy places the organism in Eukaryota, Metazoa, Chordata, Testudines, Trionychidae.
CAGUGAAGGGUCCAGUGACCCAGUCUCUGGGGCUGGGGCGCGUUUUGCUCCGGUUUUCUCCCCGCGUGGUGAUGUGCGGAGGCUCGGUGACCAGAGGGGAAGUGCAGCGGCUUUGACACACGUGCUGAGUUCGGGGGCUGCCCUGAACCCCUUUUGGCCUCCCGCCUGCCUGCAUAGUGCCCCAGGCCCUGCCCCACAUGCCGUCCAGCCCCCCUUUUUCACAAGUGGCCCAGGAGUCAGGGCAACGGGCCGUCACUAGCUCUGACCUGUCCCCGGAGUGACCUCGAGCAAGGCACUUCGCUCCUGCCUCAGUUUCCCCACUGCCCCAUGUGAGUGAUCGGUCCUAGGACGCGUGCAAGGCGUGAUUGGCUAACUACAAAAUGCUCUGAAAUCUGGGGUGAGAGGUCCUAGGGGGAAAGCAAGUUAUGGGCUGCCCGCAGCCCUGCUCCCACAAAGGGGGUCCCUGCCCGGCCCUGGCUUGGAGCUGCAAGGAGACCCUCCGGCGGCUGAGUCAGGGCAGUAACGGGCUCAGGGAAGGGUGAUGCGAACCCAGAAGACCAGGCAAACUCUUGCAGACAUGGGCCUUGUCCGGGUGUCUGCUACGAUGUUCCCCUCCCUUCUCCUCCUGCCCUUUGCUCUGGCUGCCUCUCUGCACCCCAGAGUGACUUCCGGCUAGUCCUGCUGCCUUGGGUAGAGUGAGCUCUCUGCUUAGGUACAUCCCCAGGGAGCUGGGCUGGGGGCCUGGGCUUAGAUACCAGCUGUGAUCUCAGCAGCAGGGCAUAGGAAGAGGCUGGGUUGGACACGCUCUUACCAAUGUUCCUCUGCCUGUUUCAGACGAUGGAGAGGGACUCCCCGCCCCCACACAACGAUUGGGGCUGAAGUGGAUCCGUGGAGCGACUGAAUCUUGAAAAUGGGCGGCUGUGAAACAUCCCGGCCCUGGGCACCCAGGACAGAGGGGCCUGGGUUUUAUCGUGUUGCACGGGAAGCCAGGACGACCCAGGAAGUUGGGGGCAGGAACUCUUGAGACAAGAUUGGCUGGUUUUGCUUCUCCUGACUUACAUCUGUGAUUCCUAUACAGAAUCCAAGUAAUGCUGCCAGGUACCCCGGGAUACCACACCUGUCUGGAGCAGGUGUGGGGAGGGAGACUUCCACUUCAAACCCUUCUUUGCCACUUCCCCACCUGCGGGCGAAUCCAGCAACAGCUUCUUCACCGUCGCCUCUCCCAGCAAAGAGCUGGAGCCACAUCCCGGAGCUAGCAGGGCCUACGAGACCAAGAGGAUGUCGCUGCCUUUGGAAAUUCAGCCCUUCUGGGGAUGGGGGAAAGAACGAAAACGCGAAUUGUCUGGGCUGCGAUUCGUCUCAGAAUUGGGGUGUUUCUAUUGUAAUGCAGUAGCCCUCUGAUUGUUACCGCAGAUUGCCUUGUCCUCUCAUGCUAGGCUGUACUUCCCUGGCUACAGGUCUGAUUGUCAAUUCCGUUGUCCUGACCUGUCACCGACAGUCGGUAAACCUCUCCCAUCCUGGGAUGGUCCCUCUCAGGUUGUGAAACUGACAUCCUGUGAUUGUAGUACCCCAGUGGACCAAGAUGAGCAUCAAAGGCACCUCCCUGCCUUUGAGGAUCCGGGUCUGGCUCCGUUGUACGCUGCUUACUGGGUCACACAUUUGUGUGUGUGUGUCCAUGCGUGCAAAUCAGGGUGUGUAUCCUGUUGUGUCUUUGCCUCUGCGCAUGUACGCGGGUCACGCUAUUCGUGCGUUCGUAUAAAUGCAGAUAUUGGGUGUUGUCGAUGUGUGUAAGUCAGUAUGGCUGUCUACUCUUGCGGCUUUUUGUGCCAGAACUAUGCAAAUGGGGCAAAGCAGGGACUAUCGCUGGGCCUCGUUUGCAUACCUAAUGAGCUGCCGUUUUUGCAGACGAGGCUCUUGCGCCAGAAGGCUCUGUCUACCCUGCCCCGUCUUGCGCAACAAAACCCCUCUUGCGCAACGCCGU